AAUUAAAUUACACACAGGAACAUCGUCAAUAGAGAGUUUAGUUACACUGUAAAAAUCUCAGUCCUUAUAUUAUCCCCCCUUAAAAGAAGUUUCGUCCCCGAAACUUGACCACGUACCUACCGUAAUCGGAUUCAAACAUUGAUCCACCAAUGCGAUAUCACCUUUGAGUACUGAUCAGUCACUAUUCAUUUGGACAGCUCAACCUCCGAAGAAGGGGAGACACCAAGGACUACGUUUCCACUCGGACAAGACGAGGAAACAUACCAACCCAAAAUCCACGGACCAAAACUCACCGGGAUCAACACCAUCCUAUAACCUGCGGACAAAAACAGUACCGCGACUAGGAUUAUUCGAUCCCAAUUCGCAAAUUCUGAGAUAACAGUUCAUCACCCAGAAACACUAAAUCCACUCUAUCU
This 416-nucleotide long non-coding RNA is filed under the name Ananas comosus (pineapple). RNAcentral describes it as "long non-coding RNA (ACOM_LNC043454)". The record is from RNAcentral. Lineage: Eukaryota; Viridiplantae; Streptophyta; Magnoliopsida; Poales; Bromeliaceae.